GUGAGGAAUAUUGCGCAAUGGAGGCAACUCUGACGCAGCCAUGCCGCGUGCAGGAAGAAGGCGCUACGCGUUGUAAACUGCUUUUAACCGGGAAGAAACCCCAGGACGUGUCCUGGGUUGACGGUACCGGAGGAAUAAGCACCGGCUAACUUCGUGCCAGCAGCCGCGGUAAUACGAAGGGUGCAAGCGUUAUCCGGAUUCAUUGGGUUUAAAGGGUGCGUAGGCGGAGCGUUAAGUCAGUGGUGAAAUCCUGCAGCUUAACUGUAGACUUGCCAUUGAUACUGACGCUCUUGAGUGCGCUUGAAGUGGGCGGAAUGUGCCGUGUAGCGGUGAAAUGCUUAGAUAUGGCACAGAACACCAAUUGCGAAGGCAGCUCACUAAGGCGAUACUGACGCUGAGGCACGAAAGCGUGGGGAUCGAACAGGAUUAGAUACCCUAGUAGUCC
This 445-nucleotide ribosomal RNA is filed under the name uncultured bacterium. Its description in RNAcentral is "partial 16S ribosomal RNA". It matches the Rfam family "Bacterial small subunit ribosomal RNA", at positions 354 to 796 of the family's 1533-position model. The record is from RNAcentral.